Octodon degus (degu) is the source of this 1267-nucleotide long non-coding RNA. RefSeq lists it as uncharacterized. The transcript is spliced from 2 exons. Lineage: Eukaryota; Metazoa; Chordata; Mammalia; Rodentia; Octodontidae. The record is from RefSeq and is a predicted model, not a curated record.
AAUGUCAUGUACAUUUACAACUCCCCAUGAUGAAUGCAAUUAUAACGGAAUAGACCAAACCAUGAGGUUUUAUUAUUUGAGCUAUUAAAUUCUCACACUGGUGUUUUUUCUUUUGAAAACAGAAGUGAUCAUUAAUAAUUACCAGCACUGUAAACAUAUGCCAGACAGGUAUUAUUUUAAGUAUAUCUGGACUUGAACAAGGAAUCUAAUUUCUCAUGAUACCAUCUGAUAAAAUGGAGAAAUGAGGACUCAAAAACAGGAUAGCAUCGCUUUAUUUUCCUCCAGAAUCUGGAAUUCCAACAUGAAGUUAUUCAGAUCAAAUAUCACUUUACUGGCAAGGUCUCACCAUGCAGGGCAGACACACACAGCCAUCUUGGCUCACAUCCCAAAUGCUGUGACUAAAGGACUACACCAGCACACACCUUUGCAAUAAGGAAGGCAAAGGGAAGAUACAGCGAUGAGGCAGCAAAGCGUCUCCUUCCUGGACAGAACCGCAGAAGUCUUAAUGAAACACCAUAUAAUCACUCUUGUAAUAAAAUGUACUGUGUGUAUUUAUAAAGAUUUAAAUCCUGAUAGAAACAAAGAAAGUCAGUUUACUUAAAGAUUUUUUUUAUUCUAAAAGAAAUUGAUCAGUGCAAUCCUGUGGAACCAAUGUCUGUUACAGAAACUGUUAUCAAAAGCAAACAAAAAAACCCUUUUAAAUUACUUAUAUAUUAACUUUUGAAAACAAAAGUCAUAGGGUCUAUUUUGUUCUAUUUAACUAUAAAUGCUACACAUUUACAAACUGAAAUAAAAGAAAUGGACAGUACAUAGAUUAAAUGAAAUCUCUUAAAGAAUAAAACUGCUUCUCAGCCUGUGUUUUCAAAGCUGAUUUUCACCAAGCCUGGAUGAAAACUAUGAACCAAAAACUGUGUUUCCUUAUGGAAAAAAAAUAUUUAAAUUAUUAGCAAAGUAACAUCUUACAAUGUAUCUUCACUCACUUGAAAUCUUAGUACAGUAUAAACUUGUGUAUCAACUCACUUUUCAUUAUUCUACUUUAAAAAUAUAUACAACUAUGAUAUCCAAAUACAUAAUCUGAAUCAUCUGUCCAAACAUAAAUAUUUGGGAAAUUCAACUGCCACACAGAUUAUGAAAAGAUUAAAAAAAGAGAUGAGCUACAAAUUACAUAGGAGGAAGUACAGUUAUUCAGCAAUCAUGUCUGGAGACAUGUCCUCUAAAUUAUAUAUAUGUAUCACGUUGAGCAGAUAGCCACCAAAACUAGAGCUAC